CUACCAUUCAGCGGGGGAUAGCUCGGGGAAACUCGAAUUAAUACCGCAUAUACCCUACGGGGGAAAGAAGGCCUCUCCUUGGAAGCUUUCACUGUUUGAUGAGCCUGCGUGAGAUUAGUUUGUUGGUGAGGUAAUGGCUUACCAAGACUACGAUCUCUAGCUGGUCUGAGAGGACGAUCAGCCACACUGGGACUGAGACACGGCCCAGACUCCUACGGGAGGCAGCAGUAGAGAAUAUUGGACAAUGGGGGCAACCCUGAUCCAGGCAUGCCGCGUGUGUGAAGAAGGCCUUAGGGUUGUAAAGCACUUUAGGUAAGGAAGAAAAGUUAAUUGUUAAUACCUUUUAACCGUGACAUUACUUACAGAAUAAGGACCGGCUAACUCCGUGCCAGCAGCCGCGGUAAUACGGAGGGUCCAAGCGUUAAUCGGAAUUACUGGGCGUAAAGCGCGCGUAGGCGGUGUGCUAAGUUGGGUGUGAAAUCCCCGGGCUUAACCUGGGAACUGCAUUCAAAACUUGCAUACUGGAGUACGGAAGAGGCGAGUAGAAUUCAUGGUGUAGCGGUGAAAUGCGUAGAUAUCAUGAGGAAUACCAAUGGCGAAGGCAACUCGCUGGUCCGUAACUGACGCUGAGGUGCGAAAGCGUGGGUAGCAAACAGGAUUAGAUACCCUGGUAGUCCACGCCGUAAACGAUGAGAACUAGCCGUUGGAUCCUUGAGGUUC
RNAcentral lists this ribosomal RNA (720 nucleotides) under uncultured Gammaproteobacteria bacterium. RNAcentral's name for it is "bacterial SSU rRNA". It matches the Rfam family "Bacterial small subunit ribosomal RNA", at positions 126 to 840 of the family's 1533-position model. The record is from RNAcentral. Lineage: Bacteria; Pseudomonadati; Pseudomonadota; Gammaproteobacteria.